ACACGACUACAUUAGAUACCCCCGUAGUCCCUAGCCGUAAACGAUACUCGCUAGGUGUUCGGCCACGGUGCGACCGUUGUCGGUGCCGUAGGGAAGCCGUGAAGCGAGCCACCUGGGAAGUACGGUCGCAAGGCUGAAACUUAAAGGAAUUGGCGGGGGAGCACUACAACGGGUGGAGCCUGCGGUUUAAUUGGACUCAACGCCGGAAAACUCACCGGGGGCGACAGCAAUAUGUAGGUCAAGCUGAAGACUUUGCCGGAUUAGCUG
RNAcentral lists this ribosomal RNA (267 nucleotides) under uncultured archaeon. RNAcentral describes it as "partial 16S ribosomal RNA". It matches the Rfam family "Archaeal small subunit ribosomal RNA", at positions 717 to 982 of the family's 1478-position model. The record is from RNAcentral.